Molecule: ribosomal RNA, 1394 nt
Filed under: metagenome
Description: bacterial SSU rRNA
Rfam family: Archaeal small subunit ribosomal RNA
Source: RNAcentral
CUUAGCUAAGCUAGUUCAGGGGGUCUUCGGACCACCGGCAGACAGUUCCGUAACACGUCGAUAAUCUGCCCUUAGGUAUAGGAUAACCAUGGAAAACUGUGGCUAAUACUGUAUAGAAGAUUGAAACUGGAAUGUUCUUUCUUUUAAAGGCAACGCCUAAGGAUGAGUCGGCGCCCGAUUAGGUUGUUGGCGGGUAAUGGCCCACCAAGCCGAAGAUCGGUAGGGGCCCUGAGAGGGGUAGCCCCGAGGAGGCCACUGAGAUAAGGGGCCUGACUCUACGGAGUAUAGCAAGCGCGAAAACUUUACACUACACGAAAGUGUGAUAAGGGGAUUCUGAGUGCUCAUGCAUAGCAUGAGCUUUUGCCUAGUGUAAAUAGCUAGGAGAAUAAGUGGUGGGCAAGACUGGUGCCAGCAGCCGCGGUAACACCAGCGCCACAAGUAGGGACCAGUAUUAUUGGGCCUAAAGCGUCCGUAGCCGGUUUUGUAAAUUUUCUGUGAAAUAAUUUGGCUUAACCAAAUUGCGAGCAGGAAACACUGCAAAACUAGAGACCGGGAGGAGUUAGAGGUAUUUCUGGGGUAGCGGUAAAAUGCAAUAAUCCCAGGAGGACCACCUGUGGCGAAGGCGUCUAACUAGAACGGGUCUGACGGUGAGGGACGAAAGCUAGGGGAGCAAACCGGAUUAGAUACCCGAGUAGUCCUAGCUGUAAACGCUGUGUGUUAGGUGUUGCAUAUUCCACGAGAAUAUGCAGUGUCGGAGCGAAGGCGUUAAACACACCGCCUGGGUAGUACGGUCGCAAGGCUGAAACUUAAAGGAAUAGGCGGGGGAGCACAACAAGGGGUGCGGCGUGCGGUUUAAUCCAACUCAACGCGGAGAAUCUCACCAGAGGCGACGGCAGGAUGAAAGUCAGGCUGAAGGCCUUACUCAACAAGCCGAGAGGUGGUGCAUGGCCGCCGUCAGCUCGUGCCGCGAGGUGUCCUGCUAAGCCAGGCAACGAGCGAGACCUGUAUCUAUAAUUGCUAACAGGCAAUUUAUUGUGACUGAGCACAUUAUAGAGACUGCUGUGGAAACACAGAGGAAGGUGCAGGCAACGGUAGGUCUGUAUGCCCCGAAUCCUCUGGGCUACACGCGCGCAACAAUGGUAAGGACAACGGGAUGCAACCCCGAAAAGGGAAGCUAACCCUCAAAACCUUAUCUCAGUUCAGAUCGAGGGCUGUAACUCGCCCUCGUGACGCCGGAAUCCCUAGUAACCAGACUUUAGCAUAGUCCGGUGAAUAUGUCCCUGCUCCUUGCACUCACCGCCCGUCAAACCAACCGAGCAGGUUUUAGGUGAAACUUAGUCUUUUAAUUGAGUUGAAUCUGAGAUCAGUGGGGUGGGUUAAGUCGUCACAAGGUA